Molecule: unclassified non-coding RNA, 200 nt
Filed under: Hyaloscyphaceae sp.
Lineage: Eukaryota; Fungi; Ascomycota; Leotiomycetes; Helotiales; Hyaloscyphaceae
Description: partial internal transcribed spacer 2
Source: RNAcentral
UUAAGUUCAGCGGGUAUCCCUACCUGAUCCGAGGUCAACCAUAUAAAAUUGGGGGUUGCUGGCAAGCGACCACCGAGACUCAGAAGCGAGGGUAUAAUUACUACGCGUAGAGCUCGAUGGCACCGCCACUGAUUUUAAGGCAAGCCGUUGCCGGCAGAGCCCAAGACCAAGCUAGGCUUGAGGGUUGAAAUGACGCUCGA